RNAcentral lists this small nuclear RNA (23 nucleotides) under Arabidopsis thaliana (thale cress). RNAcentral's name for it is "snRNA_00622". The record is from RNAcentral. Lineage: Eukaryota; Viridiplantae; Streptophyta; Magnoliopsida; Brassicales; Brassicaceae.
GAAAGAGUUGAGAUGCAUUGCUC